GCUUUAUGCACCAUUGGAUGAGCCCGCACUUGAUUAGUUUGUUGGUGGGGUAAUGGCCUACCAAGACUUUGAUCAAUAGCUGAUUUGAGAGGAUGAUCAGCCACAUUGGGACUGAGACACGGCCCAAACUCCUACGGGAGGCAGCAGUGGGGAAUCUUGCACAAUGGAGGAAACUCUGAUGCAGCGAUGCCGCGUGAGUGAAU
This 203-nucleotide ribosomal RNA is filed under the name uncultured bacterium. RNAcentral's name for it is "partial 16S ribosomal RNA". It matches the Rfam family "Bacterial small subunit ribosomal RNA", at positions 208 to 410 of the family's 1533-position model. The record is from RNAcentral.